RNAcentral lists this unclassified non-coding RNA (378 nucleotides) under uncultured Muribaculaceae bacterium. RNAcentral describes it as "contains 16S-23S intergenic spacer region". The record is from RNAcentral. Lineage: Bacteria; Pseudomonadati; Bacteroidota; Bacteroidia; Bacteroidales; Muribaculaceae.
UCUCAGCUUGCGCCGGCAGUCCCGACAGAGUCCUCAACGUUACUUGUUAGCAACUGUCGGUAGGGGUUGCGCUCGUUAUGGCACUUAAGCCGACACCUCACGGCACGAGCUGACGACAACCAUGCAGCACCUCGCAGUCUGUCCCGUGGGAAAUACGGCUUUCACCGUGUGUCAGUCUGCGUUUGAGCCCGGGUAAGGUUCCUCGCGUAUCAUCGAAUUAAACCACAUGUUCCUCCGCUUGUGCGGGCCCCCGUCAAUUCCUUUGAGUUUCACCGUUGCCGGCGUACUCCCCAGGUGGAAUACUUAACGCUUUCGCUUUACCACCCAGAUCUCGCUCGACCCGGACAGUUAGUAUUCAUCGUUUACUGCGUGGACUAC